UGGCCUUAAAGAGGGAGACGUUGGGAUCCAACGUUCCUCUAGGGGAAGAGAGAGGACAGCCUCUCAUUCUGGAUUUUUGGCUUUUCCUGGCCAUCCUUAAAAAAAAAAAACAGAGAGCUUCUCGGCUUCGGGACGGUUUGAAGGCAGAAAAAAGAAAUCUUUUAAGUCCUCCUUUCUUUUCUUUCUCGAUCUUCUCUUGAUCGCCCACCAAACUAUUGGGUACGAAAAUACAAAAAAAAGAUCCUGCCGAGUUCAAGAAAAUUUGUAGUAUUGUGCACGUCUACAAAUUCAACAGUUCGUUGUAUCUUGGGGAGGGAUCGCCAGAAUCCGGUGCACGUAGGAGGCGAAUUUCUUUCAAAGACAAUGACUACACGCCUCGGACCGAUCUACAGGUAUUAUCUAUUUUAUUCUGGAUCUAAAGAAAAUGACAUCAAAGAGCUCCGGAGUCUCUUAUCCACAUCGGCUGGAAAAAGGCUUUAGAUGGGAGGCUAACCUCGAUCGCAAGAUCGCGGAGAUGUGCAAUGAGAUCCAAGCCCAGCAAAGAUGAAAGGUCGAAGCAGAAGAUGAUCUGAAGAUGAUGAACAAGCCUCCUUUCACGAAAGAGAUUAUGAGGAGCUUUUGCCAGGAAGGUUCGAGAUGCUUCAGUUACGAUGGUACCAUGGAACUAAUGGGACCAUCUUUCAAAGACUUAAUUUGAAAAGAAUUAGAGAAGGCGAUUAUCAAAGUCCUACAAUGCAAUAACAGAUUCUGUUCAUAAUUACUGUUUAUUCGUGUGAUUUCUAGAAAGAAAAUCAAUAUAUGCAUAUGGACAAAUUGUGGCAUGUAGUUUUCAUUGUUUUCUAGUACAAGUUUCCCCACUUGCCUCUCCUCAAUUAGAGGAAAUUGGAACAA
Non-coding RNA from Phoenix dactylifera (date palm), 891 nucleotides. The record is from RefSeq and is a predicted model, not a curated record. Lineage: Eukaryota; Viridiplantae; Streptophyta; Magnoliopsida; Arecales; Arecaceae.